Saccoglossus kowalevskii is the source of this 2177-nucleotide long non-coding RNA. NCBI's taxonomy places the organism in Eukaryota, Metazoa, Hemichordata, Enteropneusta, Harrimaniidae. The record is from RefSeq and is a predicted model, not a curated record.
UUGCAGGACAAGAUUGGGCUCUACUUGGCCCUCUCUUUGGCACAGUCUUGGCCAUUGCUUACUUCUAUGCAUCCUAUAGAGCUAAAAAAGGCCAGAAAGAUACAAGAGUGAACAGACGCAUCCAGAAAGAUGUGCCAAAAGUGGUGAAUAUGGUUGAUAUAGAAGAUAUUGGAGAAAAAGUAUCUUACUGUAGAUGUUGGAAAUCUAAGAAGUUUCCAUAUUGUGAUGGUAGUCAUAAUAAGCAUAAUGAAGAUUGUCAAGACAACGUUGGACCGAUUGUCUUGAAACGAAAAGAAGUAUGAAUAUAGAUGGUUCAAAUCAUUGAAAUCAAGAAUAAAUUCAGAACAUUGAAAUCAGGAAUGAUCUCAGAUCAUUGAAAUCAAGUAUAAUCUCAGACCAUUGAAAUCAGGAAUGAUCUCAGAACAUUGAAAUCAGGAAUGAUCUCAGAUCAUUGAAAUCAAGUAUAAUCUCAGACCAUUGAAAUCAGGAAUGAUCUCAGAACAUUGAAAUCAGGAAUGAUCUCAGAUCAUUGAAAUCAAGUAUAAUCUCAGAUCAUUGAAAUCAGGAAUGAUCUCAGAUCAUUGAAAUCGAUGCUUACUAACAAGGUGUUGGUGUUCAUUAUGUUCUUUUAAAUUUAUUAAAAUAAUCAAUAAACUUUUAUAAUAUUUUAUUAAACUAAGAUUUAUGUUUUGUUUCAUAGUGACUUUGUUAUUUCUGUUUGACACAACAAUCACAGAAUUUGAAAAUCGAUCAUACAUGUAUAUUGCAUUUCCACAACCAUGAGUUAGAAUUGUGAUGCAUCCAGCUAUGGUGUUGGAGAAAUUCUCACCAUUCUCACCAUGAGUGUAGGGACCUUAUUAUAAGAUGUUUGAGUUUUUGGAAAAGUUAUUUGGGUUGACCAUAACAAGAAUGUCAUGUGACAUAAUGACUGGCUAACACACCUGAUUGGUGAAAAUAACAGGAUUGUGAUUGUAUUUCCAUGGUUACAAUGUUGUAAUGAUACUGUCAAUAAAGCCUUGAGUAAAGUUUGUGUGGCUGUUAAUAUAUUAGUAUAAUAUGAUUAUAUGUUGAUAGUGAGUACACUAUUGUAUGUAGAAUCUAAUAUCUAUUCUCCCAUAUGGUAAUGUGUGUUGUUCAUUAGGCAAAUUAAAAAACAUCUGCACAUCCAAUGACAUUCCCCUAGUAAUUAGGAUAGGUGGGUAAUAAAUAGGUUUUGAAUAUUAAACUUUCAUGAAAAUGUUAUGAAAGCUGUAAAACACUGAUAGGAUGCACAAACUUAUUGUUAAACCUGAAUGGACAAAUCCCAGAACUUUCAGACUUAAUCUGGAAUGUGGGUGGGAGUGCUCUGCAGCCAGUUGAAAAGUGAACCCAAAAAGAUUAACAUUGAGGGGGUACACUUUGGCUUAAAAAUUGGCAAUAGUGCAUACCCAUAGUUAAAGUACGCUUUAACUAUGGGUGUAUUUCCCCAAAAUGUCCAAUAAAAUAUCAUGAACAGAUUCUCGGACAUGGCUGUGCUAAUUUCAUUCAAACUUUGUAUGAUUCUGUUUUGAGAUUUGAUUCAAACUUGUUAACUGGCGGCCUUGAUGAUUUUAUUUUCAUUUUUCAGACAUGCUUUGAUUUUGAUAUGAACCACAAAUAUGUUUUGCUAUUUGAUUGAAACUGGUUUACAUGCGAAUUAUACAGUUUUGUGUGAUGUGAUCUUAUUCCUAGGAGGUGUAGUCUUGACUGAACAAAACCUGGAUGCCAUUUGAAGUAAAACAUUAUUUUUAACAUGCUGAAUACUCUUCACUCAUUUAAUUGUAAUCUACACGUUUCAUUGUUUAAUUGACACAGUCUCACAAAAUGAAUUGAAACGUUUCAUUACAAACUUUUUUCUCCUGAAAUAAAGAGUUUGAUUAUCUGCAAACAUAUCUAAAUUACAGUUGUCAAAAACAACAAAGCCUGAAAUGGAAACCUGUGGACACUAUUUUAUUAGUAGCUUAUCCAAGUCACAGUCUGUGUUAUGUAAUGAACAAAUUAGUAAUUAUUACCUCGGUAAUAGUGAAACCAUCUUAAUGAUUAUGUAUUAAAGGCUCUGCUCAUCCAUCAUAUUGAAAAUGGAAGAAUGCAAUAUAUCCUCCACAGACUGAGAAUCUGUAAUUUCUGUAUGUUAAAUAAAGUUGAAGAUGAAUUUCUUU